UACGGAGGAUGCGAGCGUUAUCCGGAUUUAUUGGGUUUAAAGGGUGCGUAGGCGGAUAUGUAAGUCAGCGGUGAAACUCACAGGCUCAACCUGUGCCGUGCCGUUGAAACUGUGUAUCUGGAAUGCGGAUGCUGUGGGAGGAAUGUGUAGUGUAGCGGUGAAAUGCAUAGAUAUUACACAGAACACCGAUUGCGAAGGCAUCUCACAAAGCCGUUAUUGACGCUGAGGCACGAAAGUAGUGGGGAGUCAAACA
This 253-nucleotide ribosomal RNA is filed under the name uncultured prokaryote. RNAcentral describes it as "partial 16S ribosomal RNA". It matches the Rfam family "Bacterial small subunit ribosomal RNA", at positions 524 to 774 of the family's 1533-position model. The record is from RNAcentral.